RNAcentral lists this ribosomal RNA (1123 nucleotides) under Cibicidoides lobatulus. Its description in RNAcentral is "SSU rRNA". The record is from RNAcentral. Lineage: Eukaryota; Foraminifera; Rotaliida; Anomalinidae.
GUUUAAAUAAGUGUUAAAUGCUACCAUUAAACUUAUCGUAUAUCACGCAUAGACCGAUUUUGUUUACGGCAGUAACAAUUUCAGCGUGUUAUCACCCAUCACAGUGAAUCACUGAAAUUUACCCUACAUUCAGUAUCACUUACGCAACUGCAGACAGCUGCUUAAUACAGUCACACUUGUCUUGACUUGGCGCAAUAAAAAUUUUCAUUGAAACACCCUCUCUUUUUUGCGGGGGCAGAUCGGUGAUCAUUUUUGUUUUGUUGCAUUCACGCAUACAAAAUUUUUUUGAUUUCUCUGUAUCGCUUAUUCUUUAAGGACAUUGCGUUACACCGUGACAAUUUUUUCUUUAUGGAUAACUCAGGGAAAGUUUGGCUAAUACGUACGAGUAUAUUUUUACUACACAUACGCACACACAUUCAAAUUAAUUUUUGUAUCGCUGUGUAUCAACUACUACUCAGCACUCAUGGUAAACUUUGGCCACGCUUGCGCGGUCAGUUUAAAGUUUAACUGCAACAUGAGAGACAUUGAGCACGCACGUGUUGUGUCUUCGGACGCUUCACAUCACGCUGAGCAGACUUUGCGAAGUUUACUUUGCGAAGCAUGUCAUACAAGCAUCUACAGCAUCAAGUCACAGGGUUGGCAAGUGUAUUUUUGAACCUUCAAAGCAGUCACGCAUACGGAAGAGUAGUUUCUGAUCCCAUAGAAGGAGCACCGUACAAUGAGAGACCGCUCUUAGUUCUAAGGAACGCAGCAGGCGCGUAAAUUGCCCAAUGCUAGUACCCUACAAUUCAAAUUGUAUUUACAUGCGUUACACAAUUUACAACAUUAUACAAGUUUUUAAUGACAGUACAUUAUAACACUUUCAUUUUUUCUGUUAUCAUUACACAUAUAUCCUUGUUCGUUGUACUUUCAGCAUAUAUAGUAUUAAUUUAUUAUUUUACUGAGGCAGUGACAAGCUGUAACGGUUGAGUAUAAAAAUGACGAGUGUCUGGCAUUGCCGCUCUUUCGGGAGCUUGGCAAGUUGCCGACGCUUUGUGUGCUCAAUUGGAAUGCGGUGAGUUUAAGCAACUCAGAACCUUUGGACGGUGUUAGUAAAAUUUCACUGUUUAUGUAUCUGAAUUUC